GUCUCUGUGGUGCAAUGGAUCAGUGCAUCUGGCUGUUAACCAUAAGGCUGGUGGUUCGAGCCCACCUAGGAACG
Molecule: non-coding RNA, 74 nt
Organism: Podarcis lilfordi (Lilford's wall lizard)
Lineage: Eukaryota; Metazoa; Chordata; Lepidosauria; Squamata; Lacertidae
Source: the annotation of a GenBank genome assembly